GACGAACGCUGGCGGCGUGCCUAAUACAUGCAAGUUGAGCGCUGAAGGCUGGUUCUUGUACCAACUGGAUGAGCAGCGAACGGGUGAGUAACGCGUGGGGAAUCUGCCUUUGAGCGGGGGACAACAUUUGGAAACGAAUGCUAAUACCGCAUAAAAACUUUAAACACAAGUUUUAAGUUUGAAAGAUGCAAGUGCAUCACUUAAAGGUGAGCCGGCGUUGUAUUAGCUAGUUGGUGGGGUAAUGGCUCACCAAGGCGAUGACGGGUAGGCGACCUGAGAGGGUGGGCGGGGAAAUGUGGACUGAGAUACGGCCCAGACUCCUACGGGAGGCAGCAGUGGGGAAUAUUGCACGAUGGGCGGAAGCAUGAUGCAGGGAGGCCGCGUGGGGGAUGACGGCCUUCGGGUUGUAAACUCCUGUCGACCGCGAGGAAGCCACCUGGUUGGAAGGGGGGUGACGGUAGUGGUAGAAGAAGCACCGGCUAACUACGUG
Molecule: ribosomal RNA, 490 nt
Filed under: uncultured bacterium
Lineage: Bacteria
Description: partial 16S ribosomal RNA
Rfam family: Bacterial small subunit ribosomal RNA
Source: RNAcentral